ACAGACAGGGGAAGGAUGGUUAUGAAUGCUAUGGUCCAUUUCUGCUACUAAACAUCCCUAAAUCCUACACGCUGUAGCUUUAAGA
Molecule: long non-coding RNA, 85 nt
Organism: Thalassophryne amazonica
Lineage: Eukaryota; Metazoa; Chordata; Actinopteri; Batrachoidiformes; Batrachoididae
Exons: 3
Source: RefSeq, a predicted model, not a curated record